AGAGUUUGAUCCUGGCUCAGAACAAACGCUGGCGGCGUGCCUAACACAUGCAAGUCGUACGUGAAAGUCCCGCAAGGGACAAGUAAAGUGGCGACCGGGUGAGUAAUACAUAGGUAACCUACUUAUAAGUUGGGAAUAACAGUUCGAAAGGACUGCUAAUACCGAAUAUUAUAUUAUAACACAAGUUGUAAUAUCAAAGAUGGCCUCUUUACAAUGCUAUCGCUUAUAAAUGGGCUUAUGAACCAUAGCUAGUUGGUGGAGUAAUAGCCUACCAAGGCAAUGAUGGUUAGCUGGUCUGAGAGGAUGAUCACCACACUGGACUGAACACKKCC
RNAcentral lists this ribosomal RNA (332 nucleotides) under uncultured bacterium. Its description in RNAcentral is "bacterial SSU rRNA". It matches the Rfam family "Bacterial small subunit ribosomal RNA", at positions 8 to 331 of the family's 1533-position model. The record is from RNAcentral.